Molecule: ribosomal RNA, 40 nt
Filed under: Antrodiella semisupina
Lineage: Eukaryota; Fungi; Basidiomycota; Agaricomycetes; Polyporales; Steccherinaceae
Description: partial 28S ribosomal RNA
Source: RNAcentral
AUCUGACCUCAAAUCAAGUAGGACUACCCGCUGAACUUAA